Molecule: ribosomal RNA, 824 nt
Filed under: uncultured Pseudomonadota bacterium
Lineage: Bacteria; Pseudomonadati; Pseudomonadota
Description: bacterial SSU rRNA
Rfam family: Bacterial small subunit ribosomal RNA
Source: RNAcentral
ACGCUGGCGGCAUGCCUAACACAUGCAAGUCGAACGAGAAAGUUCCUUCGGGAGCGAUUAAAGUGGCGCACGGGUGAGUAACGCGUAGACAAUCUGCCCUUCAGUCUGGGACAACUUUUCGAAAGGAGAGCUAAUACCGGAUGACAAUGUAACACAUAAGUGUCACAUUUGAAAGCUCCGGCGCUGAAGGAGGGGUCUGCGUCCCAUUAGCUAGUUGGUAAGGUAAAGGCUUACCAAGGCGACGAUGGGUAGCGGGUUUGAGAGGACGAUCCGCCACACUGGAACUGAGACACGGUCCAGACUCCUACGGGAGGCAGCAGUGGGGAAUAUUGCACAAUGGAGGCAACUCUGAUGCAGCAAUGUCGCGUGAGUGAAGAAGGCCCUUGGGUCGUAAAGCUCUUUUAUGGGGGAAGAUGAUGACGGUACCCCAAGAAUAAGCACCGGCUAACUACGUGCCAGCAGCCGCGGUAAUACGUAGGGUGCGAGCGUUGUUCGGAAUUACUGGGCGUAAAGGGCGCGCAGGCGGAAUAGUAAGUCGGAGGUGAAAGCCCGGGGCUCAACCCCGGAGGGUCUUUCGAAACUGCUAAUCUAGAGAGGGUCAGGGGCCAGCAGAAUUCUUGGUGUAGAGGUGAAAUUCGUAGAUAUCAAGAGGAAUACCGGUGGCGAAAGCGGCUGGCUGGGGCCACUCUGACGCUGAGGCGCGAAAGCGUGGGGAGCAAACAGGAUUAGAUACCCUGGUAGUCCACGCCGUAAACGAUGAGCACUGGAUGUCCGGAGGGUUCGACCCUUCUGGGUGUCUCAGCUAACGCAUUAAGUGCUCCGCC